This 1217-nucleotide ribosomal RNA is filed under the name metagenome. Its description in RNAcentral is "bacterial SSU rRNA". It matches the Rfam family "Bacterial small subunit ribosomal RNA", at positions 295 to 1498 of the family's 1533-position model. The record is from RNAcentral.
UGAGGAUGAUCAGCCACACUGGAACUGAAACACGGUCCAGACUCCUACGGGAGGCAGCAGUGAGGAAUUUUGCGCAAUGGGGGAAACCCUGACGCAGCAACGCCGCGUGAGUGAAGAAGGUUUUCGGAUCGUAAAGCUCUGUCAAGUGGGAAAAAACGUCUUUGGUCAAUAGCCAAGGAAAUUGAUGGUACCACUGGAGGAAGCACCGGCUAACUCCUUGCCAGCAGCCGCGGUAAUACGGAGGGUGCAAGCGUUGUUCGGAAUUACUGGGCGUAUAGAGCGUGUAGGCGGUUUGGUCAGUCAGAUGUGAAAGCCCUGGGCUCAACCCAGGAAGUGCAUUUGAUACUGCCAGACUUGAGUAUGGGAGAGGAGAGUGGAAUUCCCAGUGUAGAGGUGAAAUUCGUAGAUAUUGGGAGGAACACCCGUGGCGAAGGCGACUCUCUGGACCAAUACUGACGCUGAGACGCGAAAGCGUGGGGAGCAAACAGGAUUAGAUACCCUGGUAGUCCACGCCGUAAACGAUGAGAACUAGGUGUAGCGGGUAUUGACCCCUGCUGUGCCGGAGUUAACGCAUUAAGUUCUCCGCCUGGGGAGUACGGCCGCAAGGCUAAAACUCAAAGGAAUUGACGGGGACCCGCACAAGCGGUGGAGCAUGUGGUUUAAUUCGACGCAACGCGAAGAACCUUACCUGGAUUUGACAUCCUCUGACAUCCCUGGAAACAGGGCUUGUCCGACUUGUCGGAACAGAGUGACAGGUGCUGCAUGGCUGUCGUCAGCUCGUGUCGUGAGAUGUUGGGUUAAGUCCCGCAACGAGCGCAACCCUUGUUUUUAGUUGCCAGUAUUAAGUUAGGCACUCUAAAGAUACUGCCUCGGUUAACGGGGAGGAAGGUGGGGAUGACGUCAAGUCCUCAUGGCCUUUAUAUCCAGGGCUACACACGUGCUACAAUGGACUGUACAAAGGGUCGCGACCUCGCGAGAGGAAGCUAAUCUCAAAAAGCAGUUCUCAGUUCGGAUUGGAGUCUGCAACUCGACUCCAUGAAGUUGGAAUCGCUAGUAAUCGUGGGUCAGCAUGCCACGGUGAAUACGUUCCCGGGUCUUGUACACACCGCCCGUCACACCACGAAAGUCGGCUGUACCAGAAGUUGCUGGGCUAACCCCUUCGGGGAGGCAGGUACCUAAGGUACGGUCGGUAAUUGGGGUGAAGUCGUAACAAGGUA